CAGAGAGUUGUAAACAAGCACAAGCCAAACACAACAUAGUGCAUAUAUGUAACAUGAUAAAGUUAGUAAUUAGCGUUGAUUGUAGCUGAAAGACCAGAUCCGUGUGUCCUGCCUAGCUAUUCUUCUUCAGUUCUAUCUGCUGCAACUUUAAGACCCAUGUGUCCUGGUUUCCCCUUCCAUGGUAUGGUUUUCCUUAUUAUCGCUUCUUCGUGAUCAGUGAUCCACACGCUCAUCUUGAGGAUUCACCAUAUUAUACUUGUAGGAGAUAGCAUUUUUGGCCUUCAGUCUUUUCAUGGGCGUC
Molecule: long non-coding RNA, 301 nt
Filed under: Brassica rapa (field mustard)
Lineage: Eukaryota; Viridiplantae; Streptophyta; Magnoliopsida; Brassicales; Brassicaceae
Description: long non-coding RNA (BRAP_LNC002288)
Source: RNAcentral